UACGUAGGGUGCAAGCGUUGUCCGGAAUUACUGGGUUUAAAGGGUACGUAGGUGGGCGCCUAAGUCUGGAGUGAAAGUUUGAGGCUCAACCUCGAAAGUGCUUUGGAUACUGGGCGUCUAGAAUUAGAUAUAGGUAGCUGGAAUUUGUGGUGUAGCGGUGAAAUGCAUAGAUACCACGAGGAACACCAAUUGCGAAGGCAGGCUACUGGGUCUAUAUUGACACUGAUGUACGAAAGUGUGGGUAGCGAACAGG
RNAcentral lists this ribosomal RNA (253 nucleotides) under uncultured bacterium. RNAcentral describes it as "partial 16S ribosomal RNA". It matches the Rfam family "Bacterial small subunit ribosomal RNA", at positions 524 to 776 of the family's 1533-position model. The record is from RNAcentral.